This 879-nucleotide ribosomal RNA is filed under the name Gliocladiopsis sumatrensis. RNAcentral describes it as "eukaryotic LSU rRNA". It matches the Rfam family "Eukaryotic large subunit ribosomal RNA", at positions 66 to 978 of the family's 3401-position model. Lineage: Eukaryota; Fungi; Ascomycota; Sordariomycetes; Hypocreales; Nectriaceae. The record is from RNAcentral.
CAACAGGGAUUGCCCUAGUAACGGCGAGUGAAGCGGCAACAGCUCAAAUUUGAAAUCUGGCCUUCGGGUCCGAGUUGUAAUUUGUAGAGGAUGCUUUUGGUGCGGUGCCUUCCGAGUUCCCUGGAACGGGACGCCAUAGAGGGUGAGAGCCCCGUCUGGUUGGAUACCAAUCCUCUGUAAAGCUCCUUCGACGAGUCGAGUAGUUUGGGAAUGCUGCUCUAAAUGGGAGGUAUAUGUCUUCUAAAGCUAAAUACCGGCCAGAGACCGAUAGCGCACAAGUAGAGUGAUCGAAAGAUGAAAAGCACUUUGAAAAGAGAGUUAAAAAGUACGUGAAAUUGUUGAAAGGGAAGCGCUUGUGACCAGACUUGGGCUUGGUUGAUCAUCCUGGGUUCUCCCUGGUGCACUCUUCCAGUCCAGGCCAGCAUCAGUUUGCUUCGGGGGAUAAAGGCUUCGGGAAUGUGGCUCCUCCGGGAGUGUUAUAGCCCGUUGUGUAAUACCCUGAGGCAGACUGAGGUUCGCGCUCUGCAAGGAUGCUGGCGUAAUGGUCAUCAGCGACCCGUCUUGAAACACGGACCAAGGAGUCGUCUUCGUAUGCGAGUGUUCGGGUGUUAAACCCCUACGCGUAAUGAAAGUGAACGCAGGUGAGAGCUUCGGCGCAUCAUCGACCGAUCCUGAUGUUCUCGGAUGGAUUUGAGUAAGAGCAUACGGGGCCGGACCCGAAAGAAGGUGAACUAUGCCUGUAUAGGGUGAAGCCAGAGGAAACUCUGGUGGAGGCUCGCAGCGGUUCUGACGUGCAAAUCGAUCGUCAAAUAUGGGCAUGGGGGCGAAAGACUAAUCGAACCUUCUAGUAGCUGGUUUCCGCCGAAGUUUCCCUCAGGA